This 440-nucleotide ribosomal RNA is filed under the name uncultured bacterium. RNAcentral describes it as "partial 16S ribosomal RNA". It matches the Rfam family "Bacterial small subunit ribosomal RNA", at positions 338 to 795 of the family's 1533-position model. The record is from RNAcentral.
CCUACGGGUGGCAGCAGUAGGGAAUAUUGCUCAAUGGGGGAGACCCUGAAGCAGCAACGCCGCGUGAAGGAAGAAGGUUUUCGGAUUUUAAACUCCUUUUGUUAGAGAAGAUAAUGACGCUAUCCAACGAAUAAGCACCGUCUACCUCCGUGCCAGCAGCCCCGGUAAUACGGAAGGUGCAAGCGUUACUCGGAAGCACUGGGCGUAAAGAGCGCGUAGGCGGGAUAGCAAGUCAGAUGUGAAAUCCUAUGGCUUAACCAUAGAACUGCAGUUGAAACUGUUAUUCUAGAGUAUGGGAGAGGUAGGUGGAAUGCUUGGUGUAGGGGUAAAAUCCGUAGAGAUCAAGAGGAAUACUCAUUGCGAAGGCGGCCUGCUAGCACAUAACUGACGCUGAUGCGCGAAAGCGUGGGGAGCGAACAGGAUUAGAGACCCUUGUAGUC